CCUACGGGAUGCAGCAGUGAGGAAUAUUGGUCCAUGGCCGUAAGGCUGAACCAGCCAAGUAGCGUGAGUGAAGACUGCCCUAUGGGUUGUAAACCUCUUUUAUGCGGGGAUAAAGGUGUCCACGUGUGGAUGUUUGCAGGUACCGCAUGAAUAAGGACCGGCUAAUUCCGUACCAGCAGCCGCGGUAAUACGGAGGGUCCGGGCGUUAUCCGGAUUUCUUGGGUUUAACGGGAGCGUCGGCCGGUCUUUAAUCGUGCCGUGAAAUUUUGUGGCUAAACCAUGAGGGUGCGGCGCGAACGGGAGACCUAGAGUGGGCGAAAGGCAGGCGGAAUUCGUGGUGUAGAGGUGAAAUGCUUAGA
RNAcentral lists this ribosomal RNA (359 nucleotides) under uncultured bacterium. RNAcentral's name for it is "partial 16S ribosomal RNA". It matches the Rfam family "Bacterial small subunit ribosomal RNA", at positions 338 to 694 of the family's 1533-position model. The record is from RNAcentral.